This 422-nucleotide ribosomal RNA is filed under the name Fusobacteriota bacterium. Its description in RNAcentral is "Fusobacteria bacterium partial 16S ribosomal RNA". It matches the Rfam family "Bacterial small subunit ribosomal RNA", at positions 355 to 776 of the family's 1533-position model. Lineage: Bacteria; Fusobacteriati; Fusobacteriota. The record is from RNAcentral.
UGGGGGAUUUUGCACAAUGGGCGCAAGCCUGAUGCAGCGACGCCGCGUGAGGGAUGAAGGCCUUCGGGUUGUAAACCUCUUUCGCUGGGUUGAAAGGCCAUGCUUUGGGUGUGGUUGAUUUGAACUGGUAAAGAAGUACCGGCUAACUACGUGCCAGCAGCCGCGGUAAUACGUAGGGUACUAGCGUUGUCCGGAUUUAUUUGGCGUAAAGGGCUUGUAGGUGGUUUGUCGCGUCUGUCGUGAAAUCCUGUGGCUUAACCAUGGGCUUGCGGUGGGUACGGGCAGGCUUGAGUGCGGUAGGGGAGAAUGGAAUUCCUGGUGUAGCGGUGGAAUGCGCAGAUAUCAGGAGGAACACCGGUGGCGAAGGCGGGUCUCUGGGCCGUGACUGACACUGAGGAGCGAAAGCGUGGGGAGCGAACAGG